This 238-nucleotide ribosomal RNA is filed under the name uncultured bacterium. RNAcentral's name for it is "partial 16S ribosomal RNA". It matches the Rfam family "Bacterial small subunit ribosomal RNA", at positions 96 to 334 of the family's 1533-position model. The record is from RNAcentral.
CGGCGGACGGGUGAGUAACGCGUGGGUAACCUGCCUCAUACAGGGGGAUAACAGUUGGAAACGGCUGCUAAUACCGCAUAAGCGCACAGUACCGCAUGGUACCGUGUGAAAAACUCCGGUGGUAUGAGAUGGACCCGCGUCUGAUUAGCUGGUUGGCGGGGUAACGGCCUACCAAGGCGACGAUCAGUAGCCGACCUGAGAGGGUGACCGGCCACAUUGGGACUGAGACACGGCCCAG